GACGAACGCUGGCGGCGUGCCUAAUACAUGCAAGUCUAACGGACCGAACAGGAGCUUGCUCUCGUUCGGUUAGCGGGGGACGGGUGAGUAACACGUGGGUAAGCUGCUAGUAUGACCGGGAUAACUCCGGAAAACCGGAGAUAAUACGAGAUAACACCAAAGACCGAAUGGUCUUUGGGUGAUUGGCAGCUUGGGCUACUACAUACGCCUGUGUCCGCGGCGCAUUGGCUAGUUGGAGAGGCAACGGACCACCAAGGCGACGAUGCGUAGCCGGCCUGGGAGGGUGACCGGCCACACUGGGACUGGGACACGGCCCAGACUCCUACGGGAAGCAGCAGUAGGGAAUCUUCCGCAAUGGACGGAAGUCUGACGGCGCGACGCCGCGUGAGCGAAGAAGGUCUUCGGAUCGUAAAGCUCUGUUGUUAGGGAAGAAGAAGCGGCGUUCGAACAGGGCGGCGCGGUGACGGUACCUAACGAGAAAGCCCCGGCUAACUACGUG
Molecule: ribosomal RNA, 499 nt
Filed under: uncultured bacterium
Lineage: Bacteria
Description: partial 16S ribosomal RNA
Rfam family: Bacterial small subunit ribosomal RNA
Source: RNAcentral